RNAcentral lists this ribosomal RNA (428 nucleotides) under Hyperolius mitchelli (Mitchell's reed frog). Its description in RNAcentral is "partial 16S ribosomal RNA". It matches the Rfam family "Bacterial large subunit ribosomal RNA", at positions 2028 to 2621 of the family's 2925-position model. The record is from RNAcentral. Lineage: Eukaryota; Metazoa; Chordata; Amphibia; Anura; Hyperoliidae.
UUCAAUCAAUGAAAUUAAUUUUCCUGUGCAAAAGCAGGAAUAAAUCUAUAAGACGAAAAGACCCUAUGGAGCUUUAAACUUAUUAUCAUUUAUUUAACCAUAUAACAACUUAAAUAAUAAUAAUGCUCUUUAAUAGUUUUCGGUUGGGGCAACCCUGGGGAAAAAUAAAUCCCCCAGAUUGAAAAAAAUAACCCUUAUAUAAGAACUACAGUUCAAAUAAACAAAAUUUUGACAAAACUGACCCAGAAUUAACUGAUCAGUGAACCAAGUUACCCUAGGGAUAACAGCGCUAUCCAUUUCGAGAGUCCAUAUUGACAAAUGGGUUUACGACCUCGAUGUUGGAUCAGGGUAUCCUAGCAGUGCAGCCAUUGCUAAUGGUUCGUUUGUUCAACGACUAACACCCUACGUGAUCUGAGUUCAAACCNGAU